RNAcentral lists this long non-coding RNA (577 nucleotides) under Theobroma cacao (cacao). Its description in RNAcentral is "long non-coding RNA (TCAC_LNC000573)". The record is from RNAcentral. Lineage: Eukaryota; Viridiplantae; Streptophyta; Magnoliopsida; Malvales; Malvaceae.
AGCACAUGGAAGCCUUCUCUCAACAGCUACUCAGAGGGUUCUUUUAUGCCUUUACGAAAAAGAGGUUGAGUUUCAGUUUGUUCCUGUAAACAUGGGAGCUGGUGAACAUAAAUCAGAAAACUACCUUUCCCUCAAUGUAAGUACGGAAAACAGAUCUCUCCUUCUAUUUUAGCUUAACAAAUAUUUUACACUACUCUGGAUUAGUACCUGUUUCAUAAGUUGCUUGUUUGCUACUGGAACUUGCUCUGCAGAGAAACCCAGCUCACUUUAACCCUUCUUUCUCAUUGGGCGAUAGAUUUCCUCAACAGCUCAACUAUUUCUUAUCAGGCACUGAGAUCUUUUCUCAGAAACCAAUCUUUCCAUGGUUGCUAUUUGUGGAGGAAAAACAAAAUGCAAAAGCAGCAAUGAAAUAGAAAACCCCAAUUUUAGUCAGAAUUGCACGAACCCGAAUUGUUGAGGCUAAAAUUGAUUCCAAUAAUUACCGCUAGGAGAUUUUCUUUCAUUAAUUAAUCCAUUUUCCAUAAACCCGUUUCUGAGAAUACCGUGAAUCUAAUAUUUCUCAUCCUGUUGAUGCAGC